GGGCGCCACGAGGAAUGGAAGGUUGAGUUCGUUUGAUGGCCGGAGCAGCAGGAGCAACAGGUCAACGGUGGUCAAUGGCUAACCUCUAUCUCCUCUCUCUCUCCGUGGUUGAGAAGAAGGCCAAAUAGAAGAAGAAGAAUUUGGCUCGAAAGUCCUGUCGAGGUGCCUGUAAUGUCUCUAUUUUCCUAUUAUAUUCUCCACCACUCACAUCUAAAUUUGAUAAUAUAUGUUUUUUCCUAAACAUGUAAGGAUUUGUAUUUACAGGUAGGAAUUCUAUACAUUAUGAUGUAUUGAUUUAUUUGGAGAUUAGCCUUUUAGUAUAGUAUGAUAUUUUAAGAUAUUCACAAAAGGUGUAUUUGAUAUGUCCACAUUUAUAUAACUAUGUAGCAAUGCAUAUUUCAUCUGUUUUCCUCACCGAAUGAAGCACUUGUCUUGGAGAUUAGGCAAAUCCUAGAAUGAAGCAUUGAUCAAAACAACUGUUAUUGCCAACUAUGUACGCUAUGUUCCGGUUUAUGCUCUGAUGCACUUUCCCGUUCCUGGUCAGGGUACGAUGAAAUUAGGCAGAAUGGCAAGAUCUGUAGCAUCUACUGUGAACACAAAGCGGAGAAAAGGGAUUGCUUCCUCGUCCGGUAACCCAAUUGUGUUGCUUUCUUUCGUUUUAUUUCUCCAUACAUGCAAAUUAGUUUAUUCUGGAGCUUCUCCAUAAUAAGAGGUACCGUGCAACCUGCUUAUGAUAUCAAAGAAGUAACAUUUGCAUGCAUCCCUCCUGAACUCUACAAUAUUUCAGUUUGAUAUAGGCUGUAGUUAGACUUUCUGCUUCUUGAAAUUGAACUUAUAAAGGAUGAGAGGGGAGCUAGGCACAACCGCACCAUCCACGUGUAUGUGAAUAGUUCGGCGAGGGCGGAAAGGCAGCAGCGAGCGAAAGAAAAAGAGCAUGGCGGCGAAAAACGGCGAGGGCGGAAAGGGCAGCAGCGAGCGAAAGAAAAAGAGCUGGGCAGCAAAAAAGGAACGAGCCAGCUCGCAUCCUUUUCGAGAGCUCGCGUCCUUCUCACGAACCCUACCGCCGCCCCGCUCCUCCUCCUCCCACCUAUGUCGCCUCCCCCUAGCCGCCGCCGCCUCCCACCUCAGUCGCGCCCCCCCCCCUCGCAUCUCGUCCGCCCCGAGUGCGGAGGCAAGCUUCCCA
Molecule: long non-coding RNA, 1183 nt
Filed under: Triticum aestivum (bread wheat)
Lineage: Eukaryota; Viridiplantae; Streptophyta; Magnoliopsida; Poales; Poaceae
Description: long non-coding RNA (TAES_LNC013583)
Source: RNAcentral